RNAcentral lists this ribosomal RNA (611 nucleotides) under Curtobacterium sp. PCSM69. RNAcentral's name for it is "bacterial SSU rRNA". It matches the Rfam family "Bacterial small subunit ribosomal RNA", at positions 633 to 1243 of the family's 1533-position model. Lineage: Bacteria; Bacillati; Actinomycetota; Actinomycetes; Micrococcales; Microbacteriaceae. The record is from RNAcentral.
CGGGCAGACUAGAGUGCGGUAGGGGAGAUUGGAAUUCCUGGUGUAGCGGUGGAAUGCGCAGAUAUCAGGAGGAACACCGAUGGCGAAGGCAGAUCUCUGGGCCGUAACUGACGCUGAGGAGCGAAAGCGUGGGGAGCGAACAGGAUUAGAUACCCUGGUAGUCCACGCCGUAAACGUUGGGCGCUAGAUGUAGGGACCUUUCCACGGUUUCUGUGUCGUAGCUAACGCAUUAAGCGCCCCGCCUGGGGAGUACGGCCGCAAGGCUAAAACUCAAAGGAAUUGACGGGGGCCCGCACAAGCGGCGGAGCAUGCGGAUUAAUUCGAUGCAACGCGAAGAACCUUACCAAGGCUUGACAUACACCGGAAACGGCCAGAGAUGGUUGCCCCCUUGUGGUCGGUGUACAGGUGGUGCAUGGUUGUCGUCAGCUCGUGUCGUGAGAUGUUGGGUUAAGUCCCGCAACGAGCGCAACCCUCGUUCUAUGUUGCCAGCGCGUUAUGGCGGGGACUCAUAGGAGACUGCCGGGGUCAACUCGGAGGAAGGUGGGGAUGACGUCAAAUCAUCAUGCCCCUUAUGUCUUGGGCUUCACGCAUGCUACAAUGGCCGGUACAAA